CAGUCGCCGCGGGAAUACGAAGGGUGCAAGCGUUAAUCGGAAUUACUGGGCGUAAAGCGCGCGUAGGUGGUUCAUUAAGUUGGAUGUGAAAGCCCUGGGCUCAACCUGGGAACUGCAUCCAAAACUGGCGAGCUAGAGUACGGUAGAGGGUAGUGGAAUUUCCUGUGUAGCGGUGAAAUGCGUAGAUAUAGGAAGGAACACCAGUGGCGAAGGCGACUACCUGGACUGAUACUGACACUGAGGUGCGAAAGCGUGGGGAGCAAACAGGAUUAGAUACCCCAGUAGUCCCUGUCUCUUAUAC
This 301-nucleotide ribosomal RNA is filed under the name uncultured bacterium. Its description in RNAcentral is "partial 16S ribosomal RNA". It matches the Rfam family "Bacterial small subunit ribosomal RNA", at positions 509 to 807 of the family's 1533-position model. The record is from RNAcentral.